CUGGAAGUAGUACUGAUUGAUUGUACAGAGCUGGAAGUGGUACUGACUGAUUGUACAGUGCUGGGGGUGGUACUGACUGAUCGUACAGAGCUGGAGUUGGUACUUACCGCACAUUGCUAAAAGUGGUACUGACUGAUCGUACAUUGCUGGGGGUGUUAUUGACUGGUUGUACAGAGCUGGGGGUGAUACUGACUGAUCGUACAGUGCUGGGGGUGGUACUGACUGAUCAUACAGAGCUGGAG
Molecule: non-coding RNA, 242 nt
Organism: Pelobates cultripes (western spadefoot toad)
Lineage: Eukaryota; Metazoa; Chordata; Amphibia; Anura; Pelobatidae
Source: the annotation of a GenBank genome assembly